Molecule: non-coding RNA, 79 nt
Organism: Peziza echinospora
Lineage: Eukaryota; Fungi; Ascomycota; Pezizomycetes; Pezizales; Pezizaceae
Source: the annotation of a GenBank genome assembly
UCCGUCAUGGUGUAGUGGCUAGCAUUUCAGACUCUCAAACAGAACUCUGAGAACCCGGGUUCAAUUCCCGGUGACGGAA